This 305-nucleotide ribosomal RNA is filed under the name uncultured bacterium. Its description in RNAcentral is "bacterial SSU rRNA". It matches the Rfam family "Bacterial small subunit ribosomal RNA", at positions 333 to 655 of the family's 1533-position model. The record is from RNAcentral.
UUUGCCCUACGGGGGGCAGCAGUGGGGAAUAUUGCACAAUGGGGGAAACCCUGAUGCAGCAACGCCGCGUGAGUGAAGAAGUAUUUCGGUAUGUAAAGCUCUAUCAGCAGGGAAGAGAAUGACGGUACCUGACUAAGAAGCCCCGGCUAACUACGUGCCAGCAGCCGCGGUAAUACGUAGGGGGCAAGCGUUAUCCGGAUUUACUGGGUGUAAAGGGAGCGUAGACGGCUGGCCAAGUCUGAAGUGAAAGCCCGGGGCUUAACCCCGGAACGGCUUUGGAAACUGGCCGGCUGGAGUGCUGGAGA